This 301-nucleotide ribosomal RNA is filed under the name uncultured bacterium. Its description in RNAcentral is "partial 16S ribosomal RNA". It matches the Rfam family "Bacterial small subunit ribosomal RNA", at positions 509 to 807 of the family's 1533-position model. The record is from RNAcentral.
CAGCCGCCGCGGGAAUACGUAGGGUGCGAGCGUUAAUCGGAAUUACUGGGCGUAAAGCGUGCGCAGGCGGUUAUAUAAGACAGAUGUGAAAUCCCCGGGCUCAACCUGGGACCUGCAUUUGUGACUGUAUAGCUAGAGUACGGUAGAGGGGGAUGGAAUUCCGCGUGUAGCAGUGAAAUGCGUAGAUAUGCGGAGGAACACCGAUGGCGAAGGCAAUCCCCUGGACCUGUACUGACGCUCGUGCACGAAAGCGCGGGGAGCAAACAGGAUUAGAUACCCCGGUAGUCCCUGUCUCUUAUAC